UCCUACGGGAGGCAGCAGUAGGGAAUCUUCCGCAAUGGACGAAAGUCUGACGGAGCAACGCCGCGUGAGUGAUGAAGGCUUUCGGGUCGUAAAACUCUGUUGUUAGGGAAGAACAAGUGCUAGUUGAAUAAGCUGGCACCUUGACGGUACCUAACCAGAAAGCCACGGCUAACUACGUGCCAGCAGCCGCGGUAAUACGUAGGUGGCAAGCGUUGUCCGGAAUUAUUGGGCGUAAAGGGCUCGCAGGCGGUUUCUUAAGUCUGAUGUGAAAGCCCCCGGCUCAACCGGGGAGGGUCAUUGGAAACUGGGAAACUUGAGUGCAGAAGAGGAGAGUGGAAUUCCACGUGUAGCGGUGAAAUGCGUAGAGAUGUGGAGGAACACCAGUGGCGAAGGCGACUCUCUGGUCUGUAACUGACGCUGAGGAGCGAAAGCGUGGGGAGCGAACAGGAUUAGAUACCCUGGUAGUCCACGCCGUAAACGAUGAGUGCUAAGUGUUAGGGGGUUUCCGCCCCUUAGUGCUGCAGCUAACGCAUUAAGCACUCCGCCUGGGGAGUACGGUCGCAAGACUGAAACUCAAAGGAAUUGACGGA
RNAcentral lists this ribosomal RNA (590 nucleotides) under uncultured bacterium. RNAcentral describes it as "bacterial SSU rRNA". It matches the Rfam family "Bacterial small subunit ribosomal RNA", at positions 337 to 917 of the family's 1533-position model. The record is from RNAcentral.